RNAcentral lists this ribosomal RNA (1437 nucleotides) under Staphylococcus xylosus. Its description in RNAcentral is "bacterial SSU rRNA". It matches the Rfam family "Bacterial small subunit ribosomal RNA". The record is from RNAcentral. Lineage: Bacteria; Bacillati; Bacillota; Bacilli; Caryophanales; Staphylococcaceae.
UGCUAAUACAUGCAAGUCGAGCGAACAGAUAAGGAGCUUGCUCCUUUGAAGUUAGCGGCGGACGGGUGAGUAACACGUGGGUAACCUACCUAUAAGACUGGGAUAACUUCGGGAAACCGGAGCUAAUACCGGAUAACAUUUAGAACCGCAUGGUUCUAAAGUGAAAGAUGGUUUUGCUAUCACUUAUAGAUGGACCCGCGCCGUAUUAGCUAGUUGGUAAGGUAACGGCUUACCAAGGCGACGAUACGUAGCCGACCUGAGAGGGUGAUCGGCCACACUGGAACUGAGACACGGUCCAGACUCCUACGGGAGGCAGCAGUAGGGAAUCUUCCGCAAUGGGCGAAAGCCUGACGGAGCAACGCCGCGUGAGUGAUGAAGGGUUUCGGCUCGUAAAACUCUGUUAUUAGGGAAGAACAAAUGUGUAAGUAACUGUGCACAUCUUGACGGUACCUAAUCAGAAAGCCACGGCUAACUACGUGCCAGCAGCCGCGGUAAUACGUAGGUGGCAAGCGUUAUCCGGAAUUAUUGGGCGUAAAGCGCGCGUAGGCGGUUUCUUAAGUCUGAUGUGAAAGCCCACGGCUCAACCGUGGAGGGUCAUUGGAAACUGGGAAACUUGAGUGCAGAAGAGGAAAGUGGAAUUCCAUGUGUAGCGGUGAAAUGCGCAGAGAUAUGGAGGAACACCAGUGGCGAAGGCGACUUUCUGGUCUGUAACUGACGCUGAUGUGCGAAAGCGUGGGGAUCAAACAGGAUUAGAUACCCUGGUAGUCCACGCCGUAAACGAUGAGUGCUAAGUGUUAGGGGGUUUCCGCCCCUUAGUGCUGCAGCUAACGCAUUAAGCACUCCGCCUGGGGAGUACGACCGCAAGGUUGAAACUCAAAGGAAUUGACGGGGACCCGCACAAGCGGUGGAGCAUGUGGUUUAAUUCGAAGCAACGCGAAGAACCUUACCAAAUCUUGACAUCCUUUGAAAACUCUAGAGAUAGAGCCUUCCCCUUCGGGGGACAAAGUGACAGGUGGUGCAUGGUUGUCGUCAGCUCGUGUCGUGAGAUGUUGGGUUAAGUCCCGCAACGAGCGCAACCCUUAAGCUUAGUUGCCAUCAUUAAGUUGGGCACUCUAGGUUGACUGCCGGUGACAACCGGAGGAAGGUGGGGAUGACGUCAAUCAUCAUGCCCCUAUGAUUGGGCUACCACGUGCUACAUGGACUACAAAGGGCAGCUAAACCGCGAGGUCAUGCAAAUCCCAUAAAGUUGUUCUCAGUUCGGAUUGUAGUCUGCAACUCGACUACAUGAAGCUGGAAUCGCUAGUAAUCGUAGAUCAGCAUGCUACGGUGAAUACGUUCCCGGGUCUUGUACACACCGCCCGUCACACCACGAGAGUUUGUAACACCCGAAGCCGGUGGAGUAACCAUUUAUGGAGCUAGCCGUCGAAGGGGACAAAG